AUUGAACGCUGGCGGCAGGCCUAACACAUGCAAGUCGAGCGGAGCGGCGGACGGGUGAGUAAUUCAUAGGUAUCUGCCUGGUAGUAGGGGCUAACGUCCGUAAUCGGGCGCUAAUCUCACAUACUAUUAGAUUAGCCUAGGUCGGAGUAGCUAGUUGGUGGGGUAAAGGCCUACAAAGGCGCCGAUCCGUAACUGGUCUGAGAGGAUGAUCAGGAAAACUGGAACUGAGACACGGUCCGGACUCCUACGGGAGGCAGCAGUGGGGAAUAUUGGACAAGGGGCGAAAGCCUGAUCCAGCCAUGCCGCGUGUGUGAAGAAGGUCUUCGGAUUGUAAAGCACUUUAAGUUGGGAGGCGUUACCAACAGAAUAAGCACCGGCUAACUUCGUGCCAGCAGCCGCGGUAAUAC
This 407-nucleotide ribosomal RNA is filed under the name uncultured bacterium. Its description in RNAcentral is "partial 16S ribosomal RNA". It matches the Rfam family "Bacterial small subunit ribosomal RNA", at positions 30 to 526 of the family's 1533-position model. The record is from RNAcentral.